UACGUAGGGGGCAAGCGUUGUCCGGAUUUAUUGGGCGUAAAGAGCGUGUAGGCGGCCGUGUAGGUCCGUUGUGAAAACUCGAGGCUCAACCUCGAGACGUCGAUGGACACCACACGGCUAGAGUCCGGAAGAGGAGAGUGGAAUUCCUGGUGUAGCGGUGAAAUGCGCAGAUAUCAGGAAGAACACCUAUGGCGAAGGCAGCUCUCUGGGACGGUACUGACGCUGAGACGCGAAAGCGUGGGGAGCGAACAGG
This 253-nucleotide ribosomal RNA is filed under the name uncultured bacterium. RNAcentral describes it as "partial 16S ribosomal RNA". It matches the Rfam family "Bacterial small subunit ribosomal RNA", at positions 524 to 776 of the family's 1533-position model. The record is from RNAcentral.